This 689-nucleotide ribosomal RNA is filed under the name Podosphaera fuliginea. RNAcentral's name for it is "eukaryotic LSU rRNA". It matches the Rfam family "Eukaryotic large subunit ribosomal RNA", at positions 121 to 829 of the family's 3401-position model. Lineage: Eukaryota; Fungi; Ascomycota; Leotiomycetes; Helotiales; Erysiphaceae. RNAcentral also lists the same sequence under 1 other name. The record is from RNAcentral.
UCUGGCUCCUCGGGGCCCGAAUUGUAAUUUGUAGAAGAUGCUUUGGGUCCGGGCCUGGCCUAAGUUCCUUGGAACAGGACGUCGUAGAGGGUGAGAAUCCCGUAUGCGGCUGGCGCCCGUGCCCGUGUAAAGCUCUUUCAACGAGUCGAGUUGUUUGGGAAUGCAGCUCUAAAUGGGUGGUAAAUUUCAUCUAAAGCUAAAUAUUGGCCAGAGACCGAUAGCGCACAAGUAGAGUGAUCGAAAGAUGAAAAGCACUUUGGAAAGAGAGUUAAACAGUACGUGAAAUUGUUGAAAGGGAAGCGCUGGCAACCAGACUUGGGCGCUGUCGAUCCGCGAGGGUUCUCUCUCGGGCACUCGGCAGCGCGCAGGCCAGCAUCGGUUUGGGGGGUUGGAGAAUGGCUGGUGGAAUGUGGCUGUCUUCGGGCAGUGUUAUAGCCACCAGUGGCAUGCAGCCUCCCCGGACCGAGGACCGCGCUUCGGCUAGGAUGCUGGCGUAAUGGUUGUCAGCGACCCGUCUUGAAACACGGACCAAGGAGUCUAACAUCUAUGCGAGUGUUUGGGUGGUAAACCCAUACGCGGAAUGAAAGUGAACGUAGGUGAGACCCCGUAAGGGCGCAUCAUCGACCGAUCCUGAUGUCUUCGGAUGGAUUCGAGUAGGAGCAUAGCUGUUGGGACCCGAAAGAUGGUGA